This 432-nucleotide ribosomal RNA is filed under the name uncultured bacterium. RNAcentral describes it as "partial 16S ribosomal RNA". It matches the Rfam family "Bacterial small subunit ribosomal RNA", at positions 29 to 506 of the family's 1533-position model. The record is from RNAcentral.
AACGAACGCUGGCGGCAUGCCUAACACAUGCAAGUCGAACGAGACCUUCGGGUCUAGUGGCGCACGGGUGCGUAACGCGUGAGAACCUGCCCUUAGGUUCGGAAUAACUCCCCGAAAGGGGUGCGAAUACCGGAUAAUGUCUUCGGACCAAGGAGUUAUCGCCUUUGGAUGGGCCCGCGUUGGAUUAGCUAGUUGGUAGGGUAAAAGCCUACCAAGGCGACGAUCCAUAGCUGGUCUGAGAGGAUGAUCAGCAACACUGGGACUGAGACACGGCCCAGACUCCUACGGGAGGCAGCAGUGGGGAAUAUUGGACAAUGGGCGAAAGCCUGAUCCAGCAAUGCCGCGUGAGUGAUGAAGGCCUUAGGGUUGUAAAGCUCUUUUACCAGGGAUGAUAAUGACAGUACCGGGAGAAUAAGCUCCGGCGAACUCCGU